CGGCAUGCUAAUACAUGCAAGUCGAGCGGACAGAUGGGAGCUUGCUCCCUGAUGUUAGCGGCGGACGGGUGAGUAACACGUGGGUAACCUGCCUGUAAGACUGGGAUAACUCCGGGAAACCGGGGCUAAUACCGGAUGCUUGUUUGAACCGCAUGGUUCAAACAUAAAAGGUGGCUUCGGCUACCACUUACAGAUGGACCCGCGGCGCAUUAGCUAGUUGGUGAGGUAACGGCUCACCAAGGCAACGAUGCGUAGCCGACCUGAGAGGGUGAUCGGCCACACUGGGACUGAGACACGGCCCAGACUCCUACGGGAGGCAGCAGUAGGGAAUCUUCCGCAAUGGACGAAAGUCUGACGGAGCAACGCCGCGUGAGUGAUGAAGGUUUUCGGAUCGUAAAGCUCUGUUGUUAGGGAAGAACAAGUACCGUUCAAAUAGGGCGGUACCUUGACGGUACCUAACCAGAAAGCCACGGCUAACUACGUGCCAGCAGCCGCGGUAAUACGUAGGUGGCAAGCGUUGUCCGGAAUUAUUGGGCGUAAAGGGCUCGCAGGCGGUUCCUUAAGUCUGAUGUGAAAGCCCCCGGCUCAACCGGGGAGGGUCAUUGGAAACUGGGGAACUUGAGUGCAGAAGAGGAGAGUGGAAUUCCACGUGUAGCGGUGAAAUGCGUAGAGAUGUGGAGGAACACCAGUGGCGAAGGCGACUCUCUGGUCUGUAACUGACGCUGAGGAGCGAAAGCGUGGGGAGCGAACAGGAUUAGAUACCCUGGUAGUCCACGCCGUAAACGAUGAGUGCUAAGUGUUAGGGGGUUUCCGCCCCUUAGUGCUGCAGCUAACGCAUUAAGCACUCCGCCUGGGGAGUACGGUCGCAAGACUGAAACUCAAAGGAAUUGACGGGGGCCCGCACAAGCGGUGGAGCAUGUGGUUUAAUUCGAAGCAACGCGAAGAACCUUACCAGGUCUUGACAUCCUCUGACAAUCCUAGAGAUAGGACGUCCCCUUCGGGGGCAGAGUGACAGGUGGUGCAUGGUUGUCGUCAGCUCGUGUCGUGAGAUGUUGGGUUAAGUCCCGCAACGAGCGCAACCCUUGAUCUUAUUUGCCACCAUUCAGUUGGGCACUCUAAGGGGACUGCCGGUGACAACCCGAGGAAAGGGGGGAAGGAAAGUCAAAAAAUCAAGGCCCCUUUAAACCGGGGGGAAAACUUGGUUCAAUGGGAAGAAAAAAAGGGGGGCAAAACCCCCCGGGUUAACCAACCUCCCAAAAAUGUUUUCUAUUCGGAAAGAACUCGGUAACCCACCCCCGUAUAGG
This 1304-nucleotide ribosomal RNA is filed under the name Bacillus mojavensis. Its description in RNAcentral is "bacterial SSU rRNA". It matches the Rfam family "Bacterial small subunit ribosomal RNA", at positions 40 to 1326 of the family's 1533-position model. The record is from RNAcentral. Lineage: Bacteria; Bacillati; Bacillota; Bacilli; Caryophanales; Bacillaceae.